RNAcentral lists this long non-coding RNA (202 nucleotides) under Malus domestica (apple). RNAcentral describes it as "long non-coding RNA (MDOM_LNC013931)". The record is from RNAcentral. Lineage: Eukaryota; Viridiplantae; Streptophyta; Magnoliopsida; Rosales; Rosaceae.
GUUUUUGUAUAAAAUCAUCAAAAUCGGAGCUCAAAUUACCGUUAAAUUGUGAUUUUUCGUUUAUAACCGUCGAAAACUUUUGUUCCGUUACUUAAUCUCUGAAUGUUUGUUUUUUACGAUUUUUUACGUAUGCGAUCUCGAAAUGUGUACAAAUAAUUUUGACGGUUGGAUCGUUGAAAAAAGUUUCGUAGAAUGCAUAUUG